UACAGAGGUCCCAAGCGUUGUUCGGAUUCACUGGGCGUAAAGGGUGCGUAGGCGGUCGGGUAAGUCUGAUGUGAAAUCUCACAGCUUAACUGUGAAACUGCAUUGGAUACUAUCCGGCUAGAGGAAUGGAGGGGAGACUGGAAUGCUUGGUGUAGCAGUGAAAUGCGUAGAUAUCAAGUGGAACACCAGUGGCGAAGGCGAGUCUCUGGACAUUUCCUGACGCUGAGGCACGAAAGCCAGGGGAGCAAACGGG
Molecule: ribosomal RNA, 253 nt
Filed under: uncultured bacterium
Lineage: Bacteria
Description: partial 16S ribosomal RNA
Rfam family: Bacterial small subunit ribosomal RNA
Source: RNAcentral